GCUGUACGAGGAAUAAUAAAACAAAUAAAUUCAACGUAGUGAAGGGAAACAUCCUAUUAACUAUCGUUAAAAACAUCAACUGAGAACUGAGUAGUAGCGGUGAGCGAACCUUAUUUUAGCCCAACUAAAGUAUUAAAACGGUAGUGGAUACUAUUUAUUGGAAAAAGUAACACUAGUGGGUGAAAGUCCCCAAC
Molecule: ribosomal RNA, 194 nt
Filed under: Strombidinopsis acuminata
Lineage: Eukaryota; Ciliophora; Spirotrichea; Choreotrichida; Strombidinopsidae
Description: partial Bacterial large subunit ribosomal RNA
Source: RNAcentral